UGCCCUCUCCUCUCCUCUUCUCUCUUCUCCUCUUUUAUGGUCUUUCUAACCAAUUAGUCUUAAGGGCAAGGAAUAAACCUCACACUGAAGAAGUCUACCUUCAUGAACAUGGGUGUUUCUUCUGCCAUGCUCUGAGACCUGUCCUUGUUGGAUCCUUCUGCUGCAGCUUAUUGGAUGAUGUGGCUCGUUCAGGAAGGACACAGCUGCAUUUCGAAGACCCUGGUUAGGCUGAAGUCUUCUCUGUCAUGAAGACUUAGCAUAUUGGAGCCCUCUUCUGUCUAACCCACGCUGGCUGAAGUUCAUCACCAACACAUUUUUCUAAGGUUGGAUUCAGCAAACAAUGAUUUAUUGACCUUGCUAAGUGUUAUCAUGGCCUGAGAAAUGAUCUUCCCCUCCUCCACCCUGCUCCUGCCCUGGGCACUUUGAA
This is a long non-coding RNA of Mustela erminea (ermine), 427 nucleotides long. RefSeq lists it as uncharacterized. Lineage: Eukaryota; Metazoa; Chordata; Mammalia; Carnivora; Mustelidae. The record is from RefSeq and is a predicted model, not a curated record. The transcript has 3 exons.